This is a long non-coding RNA of Sinocyclocheilus rhinocerous, 440 nucleotides long. RefSeq lists it as uncharacterized. The transcript is spliced from 2 exons. NCBI's taxonomy places the organism in Eukaryota, Metazoa, Chordata, Actinopteri, Cypriniformes, Cyprinidae. The record is from RefSeq and is a predicted model, not a curated record.
CUUACCAGCACAUUUAGGAAAAGGGUUGCUCCAUUCUCCAUUUGACUGACAGGUGAUUUUGUACUGUCCUUGUAAUGUAGAUCCACUCCCAACACAUGAAAGAGUUAUUUUUUGUUCUGGUCUGAUUGAAACCUCGAAUUCCAAUGUGGUUUAGCAUAACAAUCACAUUUUUGUUAUAUGGCAUAGGUCUUCAACCCUGUUCCUGGGGACCCACUGUCCUGCAUAGUUUAUUUCCAACCUGCUUCAGCACACCUGGCCUGUGACUUUUCAAGUGAUCUUGAAGACCUUGAUUAGCUGAUUCAGGUGUGUUUGAUUAGGGUUGGAGAUGAACUCUGCAGGACAGUGGGUCCCCAGGAACAGGGGUGAAGACCUAUGUUAUAUGGUAUUGCGCAUGCAGCAUUACAACUAGGAAAACUGGGUUAAAGAGAUAAGGAAAAAAA